UACGUAGGGUGCGAGCGUUAAUCGGAAUUACUGGGCGUAAAGCGUGCGCAGGCGGUUUUAUAAGCCAUAUGUGAAAGCCCCGGGCUCAACCUGGGAAUGGCAUUUGGGACUGUAAGGCUGGAGUAUGGCAGAGGAGACUAGAAUUCCUGGUGUAGCAGUGAAAUGCGUAGAUAUCAGGAGGAAUACCGAUGGCGAAGGCAGGUCUCUGGGCCACUACUGACGCUGAGAAGCGAAAGCAUGGGGAGCGAACAGG
Molecule: ribosomal RNA, 253 nt
Filed under: uncultured bacterium
Lineage: Bacteria
Description: partial 16S ribosomal RNA
Rfam family: Bacterial small subunit ribosomal RNA
Source: RNAcentral